AGCAGCCGCGGUAAUUCCAGCUCCAAUAGCGUAUAUUAAAGUUGUUGCAGUUAAAAAGCUCGUAGUUGAAUUUCGGGAUCAGUUGGUCGGUCGUGCCUCGGUACGUACUGGUCAAAUUGAUUCCUACCUUCUGACGAACCACGAUGUCAUUAAUUUGGUGUCGCGGGAAAUCAGGACUGUUACUUUGAAAAAAUUAGAGUGUUUAAAGCAGGCUCGCGCUUGAAUACAUUAGCAUGGAAUAAUGAAAUAGGACGUUUGAUUCUAUUUUGUUGGUUUCUAGGAUCGACGUAAUGAUUAAUAGGGAUAGUUGGGGGCAUUAGUAUUCAAUUGUCAGAGGUGAAAUUCUUGGAUUUAUUGAAGACUAACUACUGCGAAAGCAUUUGCCAAGGAUGUUUUCAUUAAUCAAGAACGAAAGUUAGGGGAUCGAAGACGAUCAGAUACCGUCGUAGUCUUAACCAUAAACUAUGCCGACUAGGGAUCGGAUGAUGUUAAUUUUUAAUGACUCAUUCGGCGCCUUAAC
RNAcentral lists this small RNA (520 nucleotides) under uncultured Glomus. RNAcentral describes it as "SSU rRNA". It matches the Rfam family "Eukaryotic small subunit ribosomal RNA", at positions 569 to 1092 of the family's 1831-position model. The record is from RNAcentral. Lineage: Eukaryota; Fungi; Glomeromycota; Glomeromycetes; Glomerales; Glomeraceae.